RNAcentral lists this long non-coding RNA (1561 nucleotides) under Homo sapiens (human). RNAcentral describes it as "non-protein coding LINC00877:6". The record is from RNAcentral. Lineage: Eukaryota; Metazoa; Chordata; Mammalia; Primates; Hominidae.
AAAACUCAGCUUUGCCCCUGCACGGAGUUUCCCUUCGCGGGGCCCGCUGGGGAAGCAUCCGCGGCUUGUGGUGGCUGUGGUUUUGUGCCCAGGACUCACACGUAAAAGGAGCUCAUUCGGAGGCAGGGGCACGCGCUUGUCCCCAGAACUCAAACCCCAGAGUCCCUCCGGCAGAUGAGAGUGGAGGUUGUAAAUCACCCUCCAUGCAAUGGUUCAUCAUAAAGGAUAUGGAGCAAAAUUAGAGGAGGCACGAGAAGGAAAGCCGGUGAUGAACAAGGAUUUGCCUCAACUACAGAGACAGCAUGGAACACGCCCUCCUAGGCUGCCCACAUCCUCAUCUGCAUGGGGGCACAGAAGCCUGGCCAUUCAUCCCAUGGGAGACUCAGGACAUGCUCCCAGCAACCUGAUGGGCUGCCCAAGGCUUGGCUGAUCCUGCAUCCCUGCAUCACAUCUCAGCUUCUCCCUCUGCCCAAAUCUACUUCCUCCCCAUUCCUUUCACAGGCAUUGAUUCCCUGAUAAACACCUUGCACCCCAUAUUCCAUCUCAGAGUCUCCUUGCAGAGAACCCAACCUGUGGCAGAGCUGGUCUCAGGACUCGGAGCGAGGGAGCAGGGAAAGAGGACAGGAAAGCAGGGAGAGUCAAUUUAAGGGUAUGUUGUCUGAGACAAAGAUUCUGCUAGGACCUCUGAGAUGGGUACAAGAUGCCUGGAGCCAUUCACUGGGCAGUAUCUGUCCAUCAGCUCCCAGGCCCCACAGAACCGGAGCUGCCUGUGAGGGCUUUCACUGCCCUGCAUUUCUGGGCUUCACAUAUGCACUGGCUGAGAGGGCUCCCUGUCUUCAAGGACGAUCCUGAGCAGAAAGUGGGUGCACUUGAGGUGGCAUGCUGUUGCGAGAGUCUGAGCUUUAUGAGAAGCAGACCCAGGGGGCAUGGUGUGGGGCAUCCCAAAGGACCUGCCAUACAUUAGGUGCCUUGGUCUUGGGGAGGAGCCCUCGGGAGUUCUGAGGGUGGGAGAAGAGGUAGGUGGGGUUAAUCCUUUCCCAUUCCCUCCCUGCCUCAGCACCAUGGCUCAGGCAGUAGCGCUGCCAGCUCCUCCUGGGAUCAGAGUUAUGGCCCUGCUCCCCUUGUCCCUUCAGGCUGAGGAACAUAAGGGCUUCCCAUGGUUGCUGGUGUCUGAGUGCCUCAACCUCCCUUGCUGGUUCCUUUCCCCUGCCCACACCUUUGUCAAUAGUUCCCCCCACUGAAGUCUCUUUGGUUGAGCAGUUGGUGGGGAUGCUGACUGAUAAAGUGGUCUAGGCCACUGCUCACUGCUUAAAGCCUUGCUUCAGAGAGACCUUCCAGGGCCCUGCAGCUCCCCCUUCUCCAACCCCUCCAACCCCUCCAACCUUUCUCUCUCCCAGCUGGUCUGGGUUCCCUACGGCAUCUACUUGCUUUUGAAUCUAUUUCUUAUAGAUACAUGUGUGUCCUCCUCUUUCACAGCCUUACCUUUUCAUAUGGAGGAAGAAAAAACCCAUUUCUAUAAAGCUAUUAAAUGUUUUCCUUUCACAAACACCAGUUUUGUACA